GGGUAUCGCCAAGCGGUAAGGCACCGGAUUCUGAUUCCGGCAUUCCGAGGUUCGAAUCCCGUCGUA
RNAcentral lists this transfer RNA (66 nucleotides) under Escherichia coli. Its description in RNAcentral is "tRNA-Gln". It matches the Rfam family "tRNA", at positions 6 to 65 of the family's 71-position model. Rfam says of the family: Transfer RNA (tRNA) molecules are approximately 80 nucleotides in length. Their secondary structure includes four short double-helical elements and three loops (D, anti-codon, and T loops). The record is from RNAcentral. Lineage: Bacteria; Pseudomonadati; Pseudomonadota; Gammaproteobacteria; Enterobacterales; Enterobacteriaceae.